ACUGGAUACUACCUCUUACCGCAUGGUGGGUGGUGGAAAGGGUUUUACUGGUUUUGGAUGGGCUCACGGCCUAUCAGCUUGUUGGUGGGGUAAUGGCUCACCAAGGCGACGACGGGUAGCCGGCCUGAGAGGGUGACCGGCCACACUGGGACUGAGACACGGCCCAGACUCCUACGGGAGGCAGCAGUGGGGAAUAUUGCACAAUGGGCGGAAGCCUGAUGCAGCGACGCCGCGUGAGGGAUGACGGCCUUCGGGUUGUAAACCUCUUUCAGUAGGGAAGAAGCGAGAGUGACGGUACCUGCAGAAGAAGCGCCGGCUAACUACGUGCCAGCAGCCGCGGUAAUACGUAGGGCGCAAGCGUUGUCCGGAAUUAUUGGGCGUAAAGAGCUCGUAGGCGGUUUGUCGCGUCUGCUGUGAAAGCCCGGGGCUCAACCCCGGGUCUGCAGUGGGUACGGGCAGACUAGAGUGCAGUAGGGGAGACUGGAAUUCCUGGUGUAGCGGUGAAAUGCGCAGAUAUCAGGAGGAACACCGAUGGCGAAGGCAGGUCUCUGGGCUGUUACUGACGCUGAGGAGCGAAAGCAUGGGGAGCGAACAGGAUUAGAUACCCUGGUAGUCCAUGCCGUAAACGUUGGGCACUAGGUGUGGGGGACAUUCCACGUUUUCCGCGCCGUAGCUAACGCAUUAAGUGCCCCGCCUGGGGAGUACGGCCGCAAGGCUAAAACUCAAAGGAAUUGACGGGGGCCCGCACAAGCGGCGGAGCAUGCGGAUUAAUUCGAUGCAACGCGAAGAACCUUACCAAGGCUUGACAUUCACCGGACUACCCCAGAGAUGGGGUUUCCCUUCGGGGCUGGUGGACAGGUGGUGCAUGGUUGUCGUCAGCUCGUGUCGUGAGAUGUUGGGUUAAGUCCCGCAACGAGCGCAACCCUCGUUCUAUGUUGCCAGCACGUGAUGGUGGGGACUCAUAGGAGACUGCCGGGGUCAACUCGGAGGAAGGUGGGGAUGACGUCAAAUCAUCAUGCCCCUUAUGUCUUGGGCUUCACGCAUGCUACAAUGGCCGGUACAAAGGGUUGCGAUACUGUGAGGUGGAGCUAAUCCCAAAAAGCCGGUCUCAGUUCGGAUUGAGGUCUGCAACUCGACCUCAUGAAGUCGGAGUCGCUAGUAAUCGCAGAUCAGCAACGCUGCGGUGAAUACGUUCCCGGGCCUUGUACACACCGCCCGUCAAGUCACGAAAGUUGGUAACACCCGAAGCCGGUGGCCUAACCCCUUGUGGGAGGGAGCCGUCGAA
RNAcentral lists this ribosomal RNA (1285 nucleotides) under Kocuria rosea. RNAcentral's name for it is "bacterial SSU rRNA". It matches the Rfam family "Bacterial small subunit ribosomal RNA", at positions 168 to 1460 of the family's 1533-position model. The record is from RNAcentral. Lineage: Bacteria; Bacillati; Actinomycetota; Actinomycetes; Micrococcales; Micrococcaceae.